Molecule: long non-coding RNA, 357 nt
Filed under: Phascolarctos cinereus (koala)
Lineage: Eukaryota; Metazoa; Chordata; Mammalia; Diprotodontia; Phascolarctidae
Description: lncRNA (ENSPCIG00000035227.1)
Source: RNAcentral
AGCUGUCAGAGACUCACCCAAUGCCUUGGGAUGACUUUUAUGCAGUUGAAGGUCCAAAGCCAUUUGCAACUUGGAAGAGCUGUUCUCCUUCAUCAACACUUACGGUGAUUCAAACCAGGCGAGGUGAAGUUCUGUGCCCGAAAUUCACAUGCUGAAUACCUCAAGGAUUACCAUGGAAUUUUGAACAGAUCUAACCAUUAUGGAGAUGAAUUUAGAACUAUGCCCAAGGAGCAAUCACAGUGUACAUACCCUUUGAUCUGUCAAUACCACUACUAGGUCUGUAUCCCAAAGAGAUCAUAAAAAGGGAAAAAACCUACAUAUACAAAAAUAUUUAUGGCAGCUCUUUUUGUGGGGACA